This 393-nucleotide ribosomal RNA is filed under the name uncultured bacterium. RNAcentral describes it as "bacterial SSU rRNA". It matches the Rfam family "Bacterial small subunit ribosomal RNA", at positions 505 to 898 of the family's 1533-position model. The record is from RNAcentral.
GUGCCAGCAGCCGCGGUAAUACGAAAGGGGCUAGCGUUGUUCGGAAUUACUGGGCGUAAAGCGCACGUAGGCGGCUUGGCAAGUGAGGCGUGAAAGUCCUGGGCUCAACCUGGGGACGGCGCUUCAGACUGCCUCGCUCGAGUCCGGAAGAGGGUGGUGGAAUUCCGAGUGUAGAGGUGAAAUUCGUAGAUAUUCGGAGGAACACCGGUGGCGAAGGCGGCCACCUGGUCCGGUACUGACGCUCAAGUGCGAAAGCGUGGGGAGCAAACAGGAUUAGAUACCCUGGUAGUCCACGCCGUAAACGAUGGGUGCUAGAUGUUGGGGAGCUUGCUCUUCGGUGUCGUAGCCAACGCGUUAAGCACCCCGCCUGGGGAGUACGGCCGCAAGGUUAAA